UGGGGAAUAUUGCACAAUGGGCGAAAGCCUGAUGCAGCGACGCCGCGUGAGGGAUGACGGCCUUCGGGUUGUAAACCUCUUUCAGUAGGGACGAAGCGCAAGUGACGGUACCUGCAGAAGAAGCACCGGCUAACUACGUGCCAGCAGCCGCGGUAAUACGUAGGGUGCGAGCGUUGUCCGGAAUUACUGGGCGUAAAGAGCUCGUAGGCGGUUUGUCACGUCGUCUGUGAAAUCCUAGGGCUUAACCCUGGACGUGCAGGCGAUACGGGCUGACUUGAGUACUACAGGGGAGACUGGAAUUUCUGGUGUAGCGGUGGAAUGCACAGAUAUCAGGAAGAACACCGAUGGCGAAGGCAGGUCUCUUGGUAGUAACUGACGCUGAGGAGCGAAAGCAUGGGUAGCGAACAGG
Molecule: ribosomal RNA, 409 nt
Filed under: bacterium
Lineage: Bacteria
Description: partial 16S ribosomal RNA
Rfam family: Bacterial small subunit ribosomal RNA
Source: RNAcentral